GAUGAACGCUGGCGGCGUGCCUAAUACAUGCAAGUCGAGCGAACAGAUGAGGAGCUUGCUCCUCUGACGUUAGCGGCGGACGGGUGAGUAACACGUGGAUAACCUACCUAUAAGACUGGGAUAACUUCGGGAAACCGGAGCUAAUACCGGAUAAUAUAUUGAACCGCAUGGUACAAUAGUGAAAGACGGUUUUGCUGUCACUUAUAGAUGGAUCCGCGCCGCAUUAGCUAGUUGGUAAGGUAACGGCUUACCAAGGCAACGAUGCGUAGCCGACCUGAGAGGGUGAUCGGCCACACUGGAACUGAGACACGGUCCAGACUCCUACGGGAGGCAGCAGUAGGGAAUCUUCCGCAAUGGGCGAAAGCUUGACGGAGCAACGCCGCGUGAGUGAUGAAGGUCUUCGGAUCGUAAAACUCUGUUAUUAGGGAAGAACAAAUGUGUAAGUAACUAUGCACGUCUUGACGGUACCUAAUCAGAAAGCCACGGCUAACUACGUG
RNAcentral lists this ribosomal RNA (497 nucleotides) under uncultured bacterium. RNAcentral describes it as "partial 16S ribosomal RNA". It matches the Rfam family "Bacterial small subunit ribosomal RNA", at positions 28 to 507 of the family's 1533-position model. The record is from RNAcentral.